GGAGGAAUGACCAAGCACCUCUGCACUUGAGCUCUUCUGGGACAUGCAAAUCUGCUAUAAAACAGUAUAGCCAUUCAGAUCCGUACAAAGAACUUUAUCCAAAUGUUUUCCCUUUUUUUUUAGAGGCACACAAAAGACGAAGAGUUUUCAAAAGGGGAAUCUGGGAACUAUCAACACUGCAAGUUAGUUCCUUGGCGUUUUCAUGAUGAAAACCAAAGGGACCAGGAUCUGUCUCUGGGAACAUGGUUCCUAUGGUGGUGACUAAUGGAAGCAGCAGUGGGUCAUAGGAAUGUGGCACCAACACAGCUCUGGAGAAAGGUACAGGGCUAGAAGAGGAGUGAGCAGAAGGCACAG
Molecule: long non-coding RNA, 354 nt
Organism: Neopsephotus bourkii (Bourke's parrot)
Lineage: Eukaryota; Metazoa; Chordata; Aves; Psittaciformes; Psittacidae
Exons: 3
Source: RefSeq, a predicted model, not a curated record